AUUGAACGCUGGCGGCAUGCUUUACACAUGCAAGUCGAACGGUAACAGGCCGCAAGGUGCUGGCGAGUGGCGAACGGGUGAGUAAUGCAUCGGAACGUGCCCAGUCGUGGGGGAUAACUACUCGAAAGAGUAGCUAAUACCGCAUACGAUCUAUGGAUGAAAGCGGGGGACCGUAAGGCCUCGCGCGAUUGGAGCGGCCGAUGUCAGAUUAGGUAGUUGGUGGGGUAAAGGCUCACCAAGCCAACGAUCUGUAGCUGGUCUGAGAGGACGACCAGCCACACUGGGACUGAGACACGGCCCAGACUCCUACGGGAGGCAGCAGUGGGGAAUUUUGGACAAUGGGCGCAAGCCUGAUCCAGCAAUGCCGCGUGCAGGAAGAAGGCCUUCGGGUUGUAAACUGCUUCUGUACGGAACGAAACGGCUCUGGUUAAUACCCGGGGCUAAUGACGGUACCGUAAGAAUAAGCACCGGCUAACUACGUG
RNAcentral lists this ribosomal RNA (482 nucleotides) under uncultured bacterium. RNAcentral's name for it is "partial 16S ribosomal RNA". It matches the Rfam family "Bacterial small subunit ribosomal RNA", at positions 30 to 507 of the family's 1533-position model. The record is from RNAcentral.